Molecule: transfer RNA, 71 nt
Filed under: Marmota marmota marmota (Alpine marmot)
Lineage: Eukaryota; Metazoa; Chordata; Mammalia; Rodentia; Sciuridae
Also listed under: 1 other name
Rfam family: tRNA
About the family: Transfer RNA (tRNA) molecules are approximately 80 nucleotides in length. Their secondary structure includes four short double-helical elements and three loops (D, anti-codon, and T loops).
Source: Rfam by way of RNAcentral
GUGGAUGUAGCUCAGUGGUAGAGCACUUGCUUAGCAUGUAUGAGGCACUGGGUUGAAUCCUCAGCACUGCA